UAACACGUAGGAACCGAGCGUUGUCCGGAUUUACUGGGCGUAAAGGGCGAGUAGGUGGCUUGUUAAGUCUUGUGUGAAAUCUCCCGGCUCAACUGGGAGGGGUCAUGAGAUACUGACAGGCUUGAGGGCAGUAGAGGAAAGUGGAAUUCCCGGAGGAGUGGUGGAAUGCGUAGAUACCGGGAGGAACACCAGUGGCGAAAGCGACUUUCUGGGCUGUUCCUGACACUGAGGCGCGAAAGCACGGGGAGCAAACCGGAUUAGAUACCCGGGUAGUCCAUGCCCUAAACGAUGGAUACUAGGUAUUGGGGGUAUCGACCCCCCCUGUGCCGAAGCUAACGCGAUAAGUAUCCCGCCUGGGGAGUACGGCCGCAAGGCUA
Molecule: ribosomal RNA, 377 nt
Filed under: uncultured bacterium
Lineage: Bacteria
Description: bacterial SSU rRNA
Rfam family: Bacterial small subunit ribosomal RNA
Source: RNAcentral